RNAcentral lists this ribosomal RNA (653 nucleotides) under Acinetobacter junii. RNAcentral's name for it is "bacterial SSU rRNA". It matches the Rfam family "Bacterial small subunit ribosomal RNA", at positions 52 to 688 of the family's 1533-position model. The record is from RNAcentral. Lineage: Bacteria; Pseudomonadati; Pseudomonadota; Gammaproteobacteria; Moraxellales; Moraxellaceae.
AACAUGCAGUCGAGCGGGGAGGGUAGCUUGCUACCUGACCUAGCGGCGGAGGAAGAGGGUCCGAUAGGAAUCUGCCUAUUAGUGGGGGACAACAUUAAGAAGGGAAUGCUAAUACCGCAUACGCCCUACGGGGGAAAGCAGGGGAUCUUCGGACCUUGCGCUAAUAGAUGAGUAUAAGUCAGAUUAGCUAGUUGGUGGGGUAAAGGCCUACCAAGGCGACGAUCUGUAGCGGGUCUGAGAGGAUGAUCCGCCACACUGGGACUGAGACACGGCCCAGACUCCUACGGGAGGCAGCAGUGGGGAAUAUUGGACAAUGGGCGAAAGCCUGAUCCAGCCAUGCCGCGUGUGUGAAGAAGGCCUUUUGGUUGUAAAGCACUUUAAGCGAGGAGGAGGCUACUUGGAUUAAUACUCUAGGAUAGUGGACGUUACUCGCAGAAUAAGCACCGGCUAACUCUGUGCCAGCAGCCGCGGUAAUACAGAGGGUGCGAGCGUUAAUCGGAUUUACUGGGCGUAAAGCGUGCGUAGGCGGCUUCUUAAGUCGGAUGUGAAAUCCCUGAGCUUAACUUUAGGAAAUUGCAAUUCAAUACUGGGGAAGCUAAGAGUAAUGGGAAGAGGGAUCGGUAGAAAUUCCCAGGUGUAAGCGGGGGGAAAUC